ACAACAGUUGGAAACGACUGCUAAUACCGCAUAGUAAGAAAGAUUCGCAUGUUUCUUUCUUGAAAGAUUUAUCGCUAUGAGAUGGACCCGCGUCUGAUUAGCUAGUUGGUAAGGUAACGGCUUACCAAGGCGACGAUCAGUAGCCGGCUUGAGAGAGUGAACGGCCACAUUGGGACUGAGACACGGCCCAAACUCCUACGGGAGGCAGCAGUGGGGAAUAUUGCACAAUGGGGGAAACCCUGAUGCAGCGACGCCGCGUGAGUGAAGAAGUAUUUCGGUAUGUAAAGCUCUAUCAGCAGGGAAGAUAAUGACGGUACCUGACUAAGAAGCCCCGGCUAACUACGUGCCAGCAGCCGCGGUAAUACGUAGGGGGCAAGCGUUAUCCGGAUUUACUGGGUGUAAAGGGUGCGUAGGUGGCAAGGCAAGUCAGAUGUGAAAGCCCGGGGCUCAACCCCGGUACUGCAUUUGAAACUGUCUAGCUAGAGUGCAGGAGAGGUAAGCGGAAUUCCUAGUGUAGCGGUGAAAUGCGUAGAUAUUAGGAGGAACACCAGUGGCGAAGGCGGCUUACUGGACUGUAACUGACACUGAGGCACGAAAGCGUGGGGAGCAAACAGGAUUAGAUACCCUGGUAGUCCACGCCGUAAAC
Molecule: ribosomal RNA, 646 nt
Filed under: uncultured bacterium
Lineage: Bacteria
Description: bacterial SSU rRNA
Rfam family: Bacterial small subunit ribosomal RNA
Source: RNAcentral